UACGUAGGCCGCAAGCGUUGUUCGGAAUUACUGGGCGUAAAGAGUGUGUAGGCGGUGCUCUAAGUUUGGUGUGAAAUCUCCCGGCUCAACCGGGAGGCUGCAUCGAAUACUGGAAUGCUAGAGGGUGGGAGAGGUAAGCGGAAUUCCUGGUGUAGCGGUGAAAUGCGUAGAUAUCAGGAGGAACACCUGUGGUGUAGACAGCUUACUGGACCACUUCUGACGCUGAGACACGAAAGCGUGGGUAGCAAACAGG
RNAcentral lists this ribosomal RNA (253 nucleotides) under uncultured bacterium. RNAcentral describes it as "partial 16S ribosomal RNA". It matches the Rfam family "Bacterial small subunit ribosomal RNA", at positions 524 to 776 of the family's 1533-position model. The record is from RNAcentral.